Molecule: long non-coding RNA, 691 nt
Organism: Ctenocephalides felis (cat flea)
Lineage: Eukaryota; Metazoa; Arthropoda; Insecta; Siphonaptera; Pulicidae
Exons: 3
Source: RefSeq, a predicted model, not a curated record
UGAGAAAUGUCAUAUUCGCUAGAACCUCGAAAAUUCUAUUUAUACAAAGCGAGUUUCAGUGUUAAAAUGCGUUGGCUGAAGUCAUCUUGAUUGUUGAUAAAAUAUGAAGUAAUUAUUAAGUUUUAGUAACCAUAAUGAAGCCCAGUGCUAAAAUGUACAAGUUUUAUUACAACCACUAUCACAAAAGCCGGCGCACGGAUAGGUCAAGAAAAUAAAUGGCAGUGUAGUCUAGUUUAAUCAAUCGUUAGGUCAGCUGCUUUGACCCGCAUUGAGUGAUAUUAAUGUUAUUCAAUGUUAAUCACAAUAAUAAUCAAAUAUACAGUUUAAUGAAUAGAUAAAUGAAAAUGUGAGCCAGUGAUAACGUAAUUUUAUAAAUAGGUUUAGUCGAGCUUUAAUAACUGUGCAGUGCUGUGAUACAAUUCGCAUUUAUUUUAAAUCUCUAAUAUAUAUAUUAUAUUUUGAACUUAAGCUAACAGUGUUGGUUGAGAUUAAUAGUUUACAAGGAUUAAGAAACCCCAUGGCCACUUGUUCCUGUUUAACGAUUCAGUAACCAAACUCGACAGAUAGAAAAUAAAUGGGUCGCAAGAAAGCGACGCCAGUGCCACCAGUGGCCAAUAGUAGAGGUACCAACACAACCGUACCAGAAAAUACAGGAGCUCCGGUUAUGACAGAACUCGAUAAUGUCACGCAC